AUGGUCGAAGGCUCGGAGACGGAUAUCUCCAACCUCAAGUUCCUCCUUCUCUGCUUCCAACAGAUGUCGGGCCUCAAGAUCAACUUCGCCAAGAGUGAUGUGAUGGUGAUGGGAUACUCCCCCACGGAGGCUUUGGCCAUCGCCAACAGGCUUAAUUGCCGCAUGGGUUCCUUCCACACAACAUACCUGGGGACGCCCAUUAGUGACUCCCGGCUCACUGUCGCAGACUUGCGCCCCUUCGUGGCGAAGCUCCAAACGCGCAUCAAGCCAUGGUAGGGGAGGUGGCUUUCCAAAGCGGCCUGGACGAUCCUCAUCAACUCUUCCCUCUCCGGCCUUCUCUUGUUGCUCAUGAGUUUCUACAGCCUCCAUGAGACCCUUCACAAGGAGAUCUCCAAGGUCCAGUCCCGCUUUUACUGGGCGGGUGACAAUGACAAGCAGAAGUAUCAUAUGGUCAGUUGGCCUGACAUUUGCAAACCCCGGGAGCAAGGUGGCCUUGGCAUCAUGUGCUCUAAACGGAUGAAUAUCGCCCUACUCUCCCGCUGGCUUUGGCGCAUCUCGCAAGGGCGUGGUGGCCUUUGGCUG
Molecule: ribosomal RNA, 582 nt
Filed under: Triticum aestivum (bread wheat)
Lineage: Eukaryota; Viridiplantae; Streptophyta; Magnoliopsida; Poales; Poaceae
Description: partial small subunit ribosomal RNA
Source: RNAcentral